UGGGGAGUAUUGCACAAUGGGGAAAGACCCUGAUGCAGCGACGCCGCGUGAGCGAUGAAGUAUUUCGGUAUGUAAAGCUCUAUCAGCAGGGAAGAAGAUGACGGUACCCGACUAAGAAGCCCGCUAACUACGUGCCAGCAGCCGCGGUAAUACGUAGGGGCAAGCGUUAUCCGGAUUUACUGGGUGUAAAGGGAGCGUAGACGGCGAUGCAAGCCUGGAGUGAAAGGCGGGGCUCAACCCCGCACGUUGGAUGCUGCAUGGCUGGAGUGUCGGAGAGGCAGGCGGAAUUCCUAGUGUAGCGGUGAAAUGCGUAGAUAUUAGGAGGAACACCAGUGGCGAAGGCGGCCUGCUGGACGAUGACUGACGUUGAGGCUCGAAAGCGUGGGGAGCAAACAGGAUUAGAUACCC
This 408-nucleotide ribosomal RNA is filed under the name uncultured bacterium. Its description in RNAcentral is "bacterial SSU rRNA". It matches the Rfam family "Bacterial small subunit ribosomal RNA", at positions 355 to 787 of the family's 1533-position model. The record is from RNAcentral.